UGAGUAACACGUAUCCAACCUGCCGUCUACUCUUGACAGCCUUCUGAAAGGAAGAUUAAUACAAGAUGGCAUCAUGAGUCCGCAUGUUCACAUGAUUAAAGGUAUUCCGGUAGACGAUGGGGAUGCGUUCCAUUAGAUAGUAGGCGGGGUAACGGCCCACCAAGACUACGAUGGAUAGGGGUUCUGAGAGGAAGGUCCCCCACAUUGGAACUGAGACACGGUCCAA
Molecule: ribosomal RNA, 226 nt
Filed under: uncultured bacterium
Lineage: Bacteria
Description: partial 16S ribosomal RNA
Rfam family: Bacterial small subunit ribosomal RNA
Source: RNAcentral